RNAcentral lists this ribosomal RNA (468 nucleotides) under uncultured bacterium. RNAcentral describes it as "partial 16S ribosomal RNA". It matches the Rfam family "Bacterial small subunit ribosomal RNA", at positions 28 to 507 of the family's 1533-position model. The record is from RNAcentral.
GACGAACACUGGCGGCGUGCUUAACACAUGCAAGUCGAACGGAAAGGCCCUGCUUUUGUGGGGUGCUCGAGUGGCGAACGGGUGGGUAACACGUGAGUAACCUGCCCUUGACUUUGGGAUAACUUCAGGAAACUGGGGCUAAUACCGGAUAGGAGCUCCUGCUGCAUGGUGGGGGUUGGAAAGUUUCGGCGGUUGGGGAUGGACUCGCGGCUUAUCAGCUUGUUGGUGGGGUAGUGGCUUACCAAGGCUUUGACGGGUAGCCGGCCUGAGAGGGUGACCGGCCACAUUGGGACUGAGAUACGGCCCAGACUCCUACGGGAGGCAGCAGUGGGGAAUAUUGCACAAUGGGCGGAAGCCUGAUGCAGCAACGCCGCGUGCGGGAUGACGGCCUUCGGGUUGUAAACCGCUUUCGCCUGUGACGAAGCGUGAGUGACGGUAAUGGGUAAAGAAGCACCGGCUAACUACGUG